UACAGAGGGUGCGAGCGUUAAUCGGAAUUACUGGGCGUAAAGCGUGCGUAGACGGUUAUUUAAGUCGGGUGUGAAAGCCCCGGGCUCAACCUGGGAAUUGCAUUCGAGACUGAAUAGCUAGGGUACGGUAGAGGGAAGCGGAAUUUCCGGUGUAGCGGUGAAAUGCGCAGAUAUCAGGAGGAACACCGGUGGCGAAGGCGGGUCUCUGGGCCGAUACUGACGCUGAGGAGCGAAAGCGUGGGGAGCGAACAGG
Molecule: ribosomal RNA, 253 nt
Filed under: uncultured bacterium
Lineage: Bacteria
Description: partial 16S ribosomal RNA
Rfam family: Bacterial small subunit ribosomal RNA
Source: RNAcentral